UACGGGGGGAGCAAACGUUGUUCGGAAUUAUUGGGCGUAAAGGGCUCGUAGGCGGUUUGUCGCGUCGGGAGUGAAAACCCAGGGCUUAACCCUGGGCUGGCUUCCGAUACGGGCAGACUAGAGGUAUGCAGGGGAGAACGGAAUUCCUGGUGUAGCGGUGAAAUGCGCAGAUAUCAGGAGGAACACCGGUGGCGAAGGCGGUUCUCUGGGCAUUACCUGACGCUGAGGAGCGAAAGCAUGGGGAGCGAACAGG
Molecule: ribosomal RNA, 253 nt
Filed under: uncultured bacterium
Lineage: Bacteria
Description: partial 16S ribosomal RNA
Rfam family: Bacterial small subunit ribosomal RNA
Source: RNAcentral